RNAcentral lists this ribosomal RNA (543 nucleotides) under Triticum aestivum (bread wheat). Its description in RNAcentral is "partial small subunit ribosomal RNA". The record is from RNAcentral. Lineage: Eukaryota; Viridiplantae; Streptophyta; Magnoliopsida; Poales; Poaceae.
AUGCUCUCAAGGAUCUCUCAGCUCGGGGCGCGGCUCCUGCGCGAGACCAGAGCUGCAGGAAACUUGUCAAGCAAUAGCAGCAAUUACUACCGAGGUCAAGUCAGCCGGCAUUCAACCCCAGCGAAGAGCAUCCUCUUCUCCACCGCAACAAGUAGUCAUCAUGAUGAAGGCGGUGAGGACAAGGAGAAAAUCUCUGUAACAUUUGUCAACAAGGAUGGUACUGAGAAGACAAUAAGUGUUCCUGUCGGAAUGUCCAUGUUAGAAGCUGCUCACGAAAAUGACAUAGAACUUGAAGGAGCAUGUGAAGGGUCGCUCGCGUGUUCCACUUGUCAUGUCAUAGUUAUGGAUGUAAAGUACUAUAACAAGCUAGAGGAUCCAACAGAUGAAGAAAAUGAUAUGCUUGACCUUGCAUUUGGGCUCACAGAAACGUCUCGUCUUGGCUGCCAAGUAAUAGCGCAGCCCGAACUUGACGGUGUCCGAUUGGCGUUACCCGCAGCUACACGGAACUUUGCGGUAGAUGGCUUUGUGCCAAAACCACACUAG